Molecule: transfer RNA, 88 nt
Filed under: Gemmatimonadota bacterium
Lineage: Bacteria; Pseudomonadati; Gemmatimonadota
Description: tRNA-Ser
Rfam family: tRNA
About the family: Transfer RNA (tRNA) molecules are approximately 80 nucleotides in length. Their secondary structure includes four short double-helical elements and three loops (D, anti-codon, and T loops). Further hydrogen bonds mediate the characteristic L-shaped molecular structure. tRNAs have two regions of fundamental functional importance: the anti-codon, which is responsible for specific mRNA codon recognition, and the 3' end, to which the tRNAs corresponding amino acid is attached (by aminoacyl-tRNA synthetases). tRNAs cope with the degeneracy of the genetic code in two manners: having more than one tRNA (with a specific anti-codon) for a particular amino acid; and 'wobble' base-pairing, i.e. permitting non-standard base-pairing at the 3rd anti-codon position.
Source: RNAcentral
GGAUGGGUGACCGAGCGGUUCGAGGUGCACGCCUGGAGAGCGUGUGGACCCCCAAGGGGUCUCGUGGGCUCGAAUUCCACCCCAUCCG